AAAGGGCGCAAGAGGACAGAGACUUCCGUCUCUCCCCUGGAGGGAACCAGCAGGAGGACGCUGCCAUGGCGCCCUGCCAGGGGGAAAAGCCAGUGCGCUCGCCCGCUCGAACAAACAGAAGACUCUGAAUUGUCCUGAAUAAAUAUUGUACAACUUAACGGUCAAAUGGUGUUCAGUGUCUUCAUUAUUCCUUUUACUUAUUAUCUGUGUGGUAAAAGUAGAUUCAGUGGGGACAAAAAUGAGCCCUGUCUUCUUAGUUCAACGCUGUAUGCCUGCUGCGUCCAGGUUCUGCCUUGGCUACGUUCCGAUUGGGACAGAUUAGCCCUAACUUGUGUGUUAAAAGUGUCACGUGGGAUGCCCUCGUCCAGGUUCUGCCUUGGCUACGUUCCAAUUGGGACAAACUAUCCCUGCCUUGUGUGUUAAAAGUGACUCGCGGGACGCCCCCGUCCAGGUUCAGCCUUGGUUGAUAGCUCAUAGGGAGAAUGAAUCCCUUUUGCAGCACAAGGAGGUGGUGGGCUGAACAAAUCUGUCCAGGUCUGCAAAUGCUUUGAACGCCCAGAAGGCCUUGAGUCCAAUUCUGUAUAUUAGCAAGCUUCUCCCGGGACAGCUCGGUCCUUAGAGAUGCAUGAAUAGGUCAGGACAGGGCAGCUGUGGAGUGGAGGUUAACUUUAUGGAGGAGGUUGAAAUCAGGGGCCGGGCGAUUUACUUCUAAAAGGAAAGUGAAAUUGUGUGCCACGAGAAAUAGAGCUGGAAAGCUUAACUUGUCGAUUUUAGGUGAAAAAUCGAAAUCUGUUGGAGACGUCCGACAGAUUAAUAGGUACCGACAAAGUCCAGGGGAAGAUUUUUGCCAGCAUGGGGACGUCUCAAAACAAAGUACGAAGAUAUGAUAGACCGGUGUUUUGGAAUAUGGGAAAAAAUUAUAUGGAAAAA
This is a non-coding RNA of Danio rerio (zebrafish), 930 nucleotides long. The record is from RefSeq and is a predicted model, not a curated record. NCBI's taxonomy places the organism in Eukaryota, Metazoa, Chordata, Actinopteri, Cypriniformes, Danionidae.